GAAUUACAAUUUUAUUUUUACAUAUUUAUUUAUAUUGUAGUGAAACUGUCGGUAUCUCCACAACUUUUCAAUUAAAUAGAAAGUUUCAAUCAAACAGGAUACUGAGUGUGCCUCUGCUCCUCAAGACAAUGGAUAAUAGGAGUUAUCAAACUUGCGAUAACUACAAGUUUUUUUAAUAAGUAAAAAGAUUGUAUGACUUCGGUAUCCGCAAUAUGGUAUCGUGCAUUGGUUCUUAUCUUAGAAUGGCUCCCUUCCGUAUAGGUGAAAAUAAGAAAGGUUAUCAGUUCAAGCAAAGAUGACAAUGAUCGUUAUGGAGCCGAUCAUGAUGACGAAUACGAUAAUGCAUAUAAUAAUAAAUAAAAUGAUUUUACUUGUAUUUUAGACUUAUAUAAAUAAAAAGUUAUCUGUUUAA
Hydra vulgaris (swiftwater hydra) is the source of this 412-nucleotide long non-coding RNA. RefSeq lists it as uncharacterized. The record is from RefSeq and is a predicted model, not a curated record. NCBI's taxonomy places the organism in Eukaryota, Metazoa, Cnidaria, Hydrozoa, Anthoathecata, Hydridae.